RNAcentral lists this ribosomal RNA (111 nucleotides) under Ruminococcus bromii. Lineage: Bacteria; Bacillati; Bacillota; Clostridia; Eubacteriales; Oscillospiraceae. The record is from RNAcentral.
GUUGAUGACGCUGAGGGUCCACCUGUUCCCAUACCGAACACAGAAGUUAAGCUCAGUGGUGCCGAAAAUACUUGGCUGGUGACGGCCCGGGAAGAUAGGGAGAUGCCAACA